Molecule: ribosomal RNA, 307 nt
Filed under: uncultured bacterium
Lineage: Bacteria
Description: partial 16S ribosomal RNA
Rfam family: Bacterial small subunit ribosomal RNA
Source: RNAcentral
AGACAGCAGCAGCCACGGGAAUACGGAGGGUGCAAGCGUUAAUCGGAAUUACUGGGCGUAAAGCGCACGCAGGCGGUCUGACAAGUCAGAUGUGAAAUCCCCGGGCUUAACCUGAGAACUGCAUUUGAAACUGUCAGGCUGGAGUCUUGUAGAGGGGGGUGGAAUUCCAGGUGUAGCGGUGAAAUGCGUAGAGAUCUGGAGGAAUACCGGUGGCGAAGGCGGCCCCCUGGACAAAGACUGACGCUCAGGUGCGAAAGCGUGGGGAGCAAACAGGAUUAGAUACCCGCGUAGUCCCUGUCUCUUAUAC